AAAGGGGAAAAGAAGGAAGGAAAUGAAGAAAGAAAGAAGAGAUAAAUAUAGGAUGGAUGGACUCAAGAAUUAAAGAAAGAAGGAAAUCAAAAAAGAAAGAAAAAGAAAGAGCAUUAGAAAUAGAGACAAAUAUUAACAGGACAGAAAGAAUGAAAGAACAAAAGACAAAGAAAAAGGGAAAAUUAAAAAAGAAAGACAGUAAAAGAAGAGAGGGAAGAAACAAAGAAAGAUUGAAAAGAAAGAAGGAAAGAAAGAUUGAAAGAAAACAAAGGAAGAAAGCUAAAACUAUCAUCAUAAAUAAAUUAUCAGUUUCUUUUUGGCUCAAUUAAAAUAUACUAGUACUAGCUACGAAAGAAACCAAGUGUAUCAACACACACACAAAUGCAUAUGUGGGGCUAUCAUGUAUUCAGACGAUAUCACUCGAAACCCGAUCUCUUUGAACUAAAACAGAAGUGAAAAUUUCUCCUUUUACUGCUUACAAAUGACAGAGUUACCCCAAUUUUGGCAAAUUUUUAGGAAAUAUGGACAUUAUAAGAGCUUUUCAUUAGUGUGAAAUGUGAAUUUUGCCAGUUCUGUGAGAGAUUUCUGCCAGAGGUUAGCCAAGCUUCGUUCAUGCAGCCAGUAGGAAAUUUACCAUGUGGGCUGUGUGGCUGGCUAGCCACGUGUACACUGUAUGUUACCCUAUCAAAAAUUGCAUGCGAUUCAUUCUGUGUGUGUUCUGUGUGUGAAUGCCAGAAUUUAACGGGGGAAAUGAGUCAUGGAAUAUUUUUCAUGUUUAUGUUGGACUAGCGAAUUUGACCAUUUCUGAAAAAGUUACUGGCCCAACAAUAGUUUUUAUUACUGUUUAUGUCGGACCCAUAAAUCUUGCUAUUUUUGGAAAAAUUACUGGCCCGACAAUGAUAUUUUUUACUGGUCAUGUCGGACCAGUAAAUCUUGCUAUUUCUGAAAAUCUACUGGUCCGACAGUGAUUUUUACCGGUCUGGGACCGUCGGACCGGCGCUAGUGUCGAGCCCUGACUAGCCAAACGUGUUUAUAGAGUAUUUUUUUCCCCGGGGUCAAAUGGUGAUAACUUGUUUAGGGGCCAAAAUGUGUAAAUAAAGCCUGCAAAAAGCUUGUUUAGGGAGUUAUUUUGCACACAGAGAUAAACUUGUGUAGGGGGUGUUUGGAAAUACUUUGGCCACUCGUGUGUCCAGCAAUACAUUUGACAAGACUCAAGAGACAAGAGUCCCUGUAGAUCUACAGAUCGAGUUAGAUCUUUGGUCUCUGUAAUUGAAAAUUGGUGAGUGGAGCCAAUCGAGUUCAGCGGAACAAUAUAACAGAAACUGAAGCUUUUGGUCUAUUAAAAAGAAAAAUCAAGCCAUAGAAGUCGUGUUUUGUGGAAGCCAGAAGUGGCGUCGCAGCACGCGCAACCCACUAGUUAGAUAUAUGAUGGGGUGUCCAAACUUCGCGCACUUUUCAAAAAUAUUCAUCAGGCUGAUUUUUUUUCACAAAAUAUUCAUAAUUCAUACAAAAAGAAUUCAAGAAAUAGUUACCACAUUGACGGCAAGAUCGUAAAGUAUAAAAUCAUGGACGAAAAUGUGAAGUAGGUCAAGGGCUUUCGCCGGUAUCGCGAUCUCAAAAUUCUAUUCCGAUCGGCGAAUGCGCGCUGUGCUGGAAAACCGUUCAGAAAAAGUGUGACCUAACUUCGCGGACCAAAGUUUUUGUGGAAAUUUAAACAGAAACUCAAGCUGAAAAAGUGAAAAAUUUAUAUCAGAUUGAUGGCAAAAUGCUAUAGAAUCGGUUAGUACCAUAUUUAACUUACAUUUUUGAUGAUUUAUGCUUGCAAAAUGGUGAUAUCGUGAUGCUUGUUGAGAAUAUCAGAUUUCUUUAAAACGGGCGCUAACGGCGACAAAUUUGCCGAUCUUUUGCCAAUAUUUUCAUGAAUACUGAACUCAUCCUAAAGAAACUUACACCAAAGGGUAAUUUUAGGUCGCUUUUCACGUUGGUGGUGUCAGAUUUUAAGGAUAUUGGCUAGUUUUUUAGAUAAUGACCGUCCGCGAAGUAUGGACACGCGCGAAGUUUGGACUCACUGCCAUACAUGAAAACUACACUGCCAAAUGCGGUUCUUGGUAUGAGGUUAGUACCGUACUAAUACUAAUCUCGCACUAUUAGUGUGAAUGGACGGGAGCCGUUUCAUAAAGCUGUUCGUAAGUUAAGAGCGAUUUUUAAGAACAACUGGUGAAACCUUCUUACGCGCUAAAUUGCCAAUUCAUCUACCACAAGAAAGGGUCACCAGUUGCUCUUAACUUUAAACUUGCUUACGAACAUCUUUAUGAAACACCCACCUGGUGUUGCUUUCGCUCUUCCUCUGGCCUCUGCCAGUGGCAUCCGGACGCGUUGCCAGGCCAGGGGCAGGGCCAGCAGGCAGGGUGAGGCUAGCCAGGAGGCACUGUCACACUCUAGUGUUAAUGGCUAUAUAUUCAAAUCAAAAUUUGUGUUUUUUUUUUUUGGGGGGGGGUGAGAAAUUUGGAUGGGGAACCACCCUUGGAUGAAAUUUGAUCACCUUGAUCUAUAUCUAGGCUGGUAAUAUUCCUUAAUAGAGGGUGCUGUGCGUGAACACGUCUUUUAUCUUCAUGCGGAUUGAUUUUGAUAGACAUGUUUAACAAAUGGAAGUCCUUGAAUCUUGUUUUUAAAGAGAAGCAUGGAACAUCAGACAAUUGCAGCAUACAAUAUAGGAUUAGAAGUGGAAAAUGUCCUUGAAAGUUGAUUUUACGAUCCUACAUGUAUAUGAGGAGCAUCAGUCAAUGUAUUAUUGAUCGCAGUUCGUAUUGUUAAGGUUAUUUUGAAGCAGUCAGUAGGCAGGUCCCCAAAAAGUGACUUCUUUCAUCCAAGUGAUAUUCAUGACAAGAGAAGUUUUGCAUACUUAGUGAGCUUGAUGCGGACCAAAACACCUCUUUUCAUUCGGCCAUUGCUGAUCGAAUUGUUCAUCAAAUUUCAUGAUUUUGUAUUAUUGUAAAGGAGGAGAAUCAUUCUUUCAGGUCAUGUGUUUGAAUUUAUUCAAGGAUUUUGUUAUGUAGGUGAAACUUUUGAUCUAAACUAUGCUAAAAAAUAAUUAUUUUCACCUGACAAAAGGUGCUAUUUUUAUACUUUAUUAUUGUUUGAGCCCAAAUGAUUUUUAGAUCAUGAUAAAGCUGGAUAUGUAUGCUUUAAAAUGGUAUAGGUUUCAAAAUAAGAAUUUGUUUAAUCGUGUCAAGAUCACACUUUUCAUUGGCCAAGUACAUAAAGCAGCUUGAAAACAAGAACACUGCACUCUGAUUGGUCAAAUAGACCACACACUGGCAAAUUCCAACGGUUCCACUCCAGUGCCUGGGUUCACGGGAAGGUCACACUCCCCAUGUGGUAAUCUCCUCAAAUUACCUGCGCCUAUUGUUUUGAGAACCUUAUCCAGCCAAUCAGAACUCUGGAUUUCAUGCUAAUCCAAAAUUUCAGAAAUCUCGUCUUGUACCUUGAUGGGCAAAGUGUGAUCUUGACCCGAUUAAAAGGUGCCGCAUAUCAAGAGUGACAUUGUGAGAAAGUACAGAAGUUCAGCUUUAUGGUGAUAUAGACAGACCUGCCAACCAGUACGUUUUAGCCGUAUUUAGUACGUUUUUGUAACCAAAAUACGGCAGUACGUUUUUUCUUUAAAAAAUAUGUUUUUUGUUUUUUUGUAAAAAAAAAAAAAAAUCUCUAUGGCCCGAAUUCUCGAAGGGUGGCUAACUUAGCCCAUGGUGCUAAAUCGCGUCAUUUGACGUCAUUUAGCCCAUGGUGCUAAAUUUUGCAUUUCUCGAAGCUCGGCUAACUUAGCCCGGGCUAAAUCGUGGGCUAAAUCGCGUCAUUUGACGUCACAAAUUUAGCCACCCCUUUGGCCAUGGGCUAAAUCGUGGGCUAAAUUAGCCCACUGAUUUUGACCAAUCAGAAAGCAGAUUAUCAACAUGAACAAUAAUUGUUUUAUUUUCUGCAUCGCGAGAACGAGUCGACGAUAUGGACGGGAAGGGGGUCGUAAUGCCGUAUUUAUCUUCACAUCUUCGAACAAAACCGCACUACCUAAGCCACAAUACUGAAAAUGGCUAAUGUUCUCCAACAGUGUCGUCACUCAUCAUUGUUGAGUAUGGAGUAUGGAAAGAGAGAUACUUGAACAUGUUGGAAUGUCACCUUGAGGACCAAGAUAUGGGGAGAAUAAUGCUUGAAUGGUGCACAGAUGAGUCUUUUCAACUCUGGUAUGCUUCUCCAAGAAAACGGCCAUGCACAUCACCAGAAUGCUAGAACAGGAUCAGGGAGUGAAUAUCUGAGGAAGGGUUCUUUUCCAGUACUUUGAUACAAUUGUCUUCACUUCAUUUUUUUGCUGUUGGUAUCCUUUGCUCUUCUUUUUUGAUGAAUUCCUGCCUGCAUUCUCUCGUCAAUCAAUCAAGAUAGCGUGCUAUUUCGCAUUCCAUUGGCCAUGUCAUAAUCUACGCAUGAACAUGGACACUGAGUUAAAACUGGUAGCUUGCUCAAUCCCGUACAUCUCUUGACUGUCACCAGCUCGUUAUUCCUAGAGGUUUUAAAGCUACUGUACCACAGCCAAUUUAGACAGCACCAUCUCAAGACAUAAACUCCUGUACCUUGUAACACCAGGAUGUAAUAAAUUGACAGGUUUAUUACUUAUUUGCAAAGAAAAUAAUAUUUUCUUAGUUGUUGGGGUGUUUCCACGCAUUCCUGUAUUUCAAUAGUGAUCUAAUGACCAUCUUGCUUUUAAAACCCAAAUUCACAAUAUUUUUCUUGUUUGAUAAAAGGUUAGGUACUUCUGGGUGGAUAUAAAUGACACACAUGUUGGGUUAAUAAGCAACAGUUGUAUCAUACUUAACUCAGUUUUGCCAAGAGAUGGACCGACUUUAGGUCAUUCUUAUUAUUCAAGUCUAUUGUCUCACUUAUCUUUUUUUUAAUUAAGAAUCAAUGCUUAAAUCCUCAUGGUUUCAAUUUUAACCCUAUAGACUGGGCUAUUUCAACAUCUAAGAAGACUGGGGGGGGGCUGAUUCAGCCCCCCGCCACCCCCAGGUCUUCUUAGGAUUAAGACCUGUUUAUUCAUAAAAUAGUCACUUGCCUUGGCAUGUGCAGCUCCCUAAUGUGUCAAAUUUAAAUCAUAUAAUUUCAUUUUGGUGAAUUAAUAUCCUUUUACUUUCCAGCUUUUCGUAGGCACUUCGAUACACUGAAAUGAGCACUAUAUAAAUGCAAACUACCAGUAAUAUUAUCAAUUUAAUAUUACUAUUAUUAUGAUUGAAUCAUCCUUCUUUAGUGUCUUUCAGAAAUAUAUUUGACAUUUUUUCCGAGUAUCUUAUCAUUCAUAGUGAUAAAUGUAGACAGUAAAUUAAUUUUUUUUGUGUCAUAUAAACGACUUUUGAUCUAAUUAAAAAAAAAACAAUGUACUGAAUAAACUAAUCUAUCUACUAU
Lytechinus pictus (painted urchin) is the source of this 5445-nucleotide long non-coding RNA. RefSeq lists it as uncharacterized. The transcript has 4 exons. The record is from RefSeq and is a predicted model, not a curated record. NCBI's taxonomy places the organism in Eukaryota, Metazoa, Echinodermata, Echinoidea, Temnopleuroida, Toxopneustidae.